UUUCCCCGCAGGUGCAUCGACAUCCUGGAGCUGUGGGAGCGCGAGGAGCUGCUGCAGUUCCAGUGCCACACGCUGCGGCUGUACUGCGCCGUGUGCGCGCUGGGCAACAACCGCGUGGCCCACGCGCUCUGCAGCCACGUGGACCAGGCCCAGCUGCUCUUCGCCAUCGAGAGCCCCGAGCUGCCGGGCCCGCUGCGGGCCGGCUACUACGACCUGCUGCUGGCCAUGCACCUGGACGCGGCGCAGCGCGCCCGCUCCUCCAUGAGCGCCGAGUUCAUCGUGCCCAUCACCGAGGCCACGCGCGCCAUCGCGCUCUUCCCCGACGGCGGCCGCUGCCCGGGACCCCGUGGGGGGAAGCGUGGAGUUCCAGUUGGUGCCCGUGCUCAAGCUGGUGUCGGCGCUGCUGGCGGUGGGAGCGCUGGGCGACGGCGACGUGCGCCGCGUGCUCCGCAUGAUCGAGCCACGCGUCUUCGGGGACGCGCGCGGCGACGGCGAGGGACGGCGGGAGGAAGGGCAGGAGGAGGAGGAGGAGGAGGAGGGCGUGAAGGCCAUCGAGGCUGGCGAGGAGGAGGAGGAGGAGGAGGAUGAGGAGGCGAGGAGGAAAAAGGCUAUGGAGGCUGGAGAGCUGGAGGAGGAGGAGGAGGAGGAGGAAGAAGUGAGGAGGAGGAAGGCCAUCGAGGCUGGAGAGCUGCAGGAGGAGGAGGAGGAUGAGGAGGAGGCCAGGAGGACGAAGGCAAUUGAGGCCGGGGAGGUGCAGGAGGAGGAGGAAGAGAAGGAGGAAGAGCUGGAGGAGGGGCUGCUGCAGAUGAAGCUGCCAGAGUCGGUCAAGCUGCAGAUGUGCCACCUGCUGCAGCACCUGUGCGAGCGGGAGCUGCAGCACCGCGUGGAGGCCAUCGUGGCCUUCUCGGA
RNAcentral lists this long non-coding RNA (909 nucleotides) under Lonchura striata (white-rumped munia). RNAcentral's name for it is "domestica (Bengalese finch) lncRNA (ENSLSDG00000002886.1)". Lineage: Eukaryota; Metazoa; Chordata; Aves; Passeriformes; Estrildidae. The record is from RNAcentral.